GUUCCGUAGGUGAACCUGCGGAAGGAUCAUUAUUGUAUAACCGAGGUGCGAGGCCUGUCGCUGACCCGUAAGGUCACGCACGCUCGAUUGCUCUCACACACAUCCAUCGCCCCCCCAAGUGCACCACCGGGUGCAUCCCCCUUUGGACUGUUCGGAGGGGGGCUUACGUUUUCACACAAACUUUGUAUGCAGUGUAGAAUGUAUUUUUUGUUUUUGCGACCACGCAAUCAAUACAACUUUCAACAACGGAUCUCUUGGCUCUC
This 263-nucleotide unclassified non-coding RNA is filed under the name plant metagenome. Its description in RNAcentral is "partial contains small subunit ribosomal RNA, internal transcribed spacer 1, and 5.8S ribosomal RNA". The record is from RNAcentral.